Sinocyclocheilus grahami is the source of this 3738-nucleotide long non-coding RNA. The record is from Ensembl. NCBI's taxonomy places the organism in Eukaryota, Metazoa, Chordata, Actinopteri, Cypriniformes, Cyprinidae.
AUUUUUAGUUGAAAAAACUACCGCAGAAAUCUAAUUGAUUUUUCAAUCAGGAAGAAUAUCAAAACAAGAAAACUAUUCCGAGUUAUAUAUUCAAGAAGUCCGGCAGAAGGAACAAGUCGAAUCCAUUUGAGAAGUUCGGAAGAAGGAACAAGUGGAAUCGAUGAGAUCAAGGCUUGCCAAAAGGACAAGAAUCGAUGAUUUCCAGGAACCAAGAAGAACAGAGUCAGUGUGUGGGGGUGUUGGUGCAAAUGUGCUGUUGCGUGGAAGGUGCUAAUCACCCGUAAAAGACUGGGCUCCAAUUAAGGUCUGUUAGCCCCAGACCACCGUCCCUGCGUGCUGUCCUAGUGGACCCAGGGGGGCUGGAUACUUACCACUCCCCCAAGUGACCUCUUGUUAACACCGCAAGGUUGCCCAGGUCACCCGAGAAGAGUCUGCAGCAUAUCGAUCUCAUCUUGGGGCAUACUCUGGAUCAGAGCUGGAUCUUGUUGGGUUUGACCCCAACCGUCUCUAUGCCCAAAUCGGCAGAGUUCUGACAAACUCAGGGCUUAGGGUUCAGCUGGCGACUGGGUCGUCCUUCACCCAUCACCCCUGCCGAUUUUGGUGGGGCCUUCUCCGGCUAUGCCAGAGAUCAGGUCCUGCAGAACCCCCGAGAUAUCAGACAGAGUCCGAGUCUCUCCGGAGUCCCCAAGGACCUUUGCCCAAACCAGCCGAGUCCGAAGACCCAGGAAAAAAGGUCCGCCAUGAGCUAGUCGUCGCCUUCCAAUUUCCCCUGCUGAUUUUGUCGAGGUUCCAGCUGGCGGAUACAUGCCGAAACACGCACCAAGCUUCUACCAGCUUUCACCCCUAAGGUAAAUGCAAAACCAAACCGACAUCAUCCUUACCAAGGAUGACCGUUGGACGCAUAAACCCUAAGUAAAGAGUUGGCGAGCUAUGUCAACCCAUUUUUUGACACGUUAGUUCUCAUGAUGGUGAGGAACUAGAGUUUUUACCCAUAAUCCUUUGCGUGCGCACUUUUCCUCACCGUUGUUGAAACUGAAGUCUCUUUUUGGUAAGGUUUCCUGCCUCUCGUUAGUUUUGUUUAUCGAUACGUUGGUAUCGACCCACUGACGAAAGUCGCUGACGGGAUUCGCUUUGCGAUCAUCGACGGUAAAAGUCGAUUCGCGAACUUUCGAUAUCAAAAGUCGACGGUAAAAGUCGACUUUGAAAGUUCAUAUGCGAACGUCGACGACGAAAGUCGGUAGCGUUCAUCGACGACGAAAGUCGAUUCGCUUCUUCAACAUCGAUAGUCGACAUCGAUAGUCGAAAAGCGAACUUCGAUGACGAAAGUCGAUGCGUGUCCUCGACAUCGAUAGUCGACAUCGAACGUCGAGACGCGAACGUCGAUGGCGAACGUUGACGACGAACGUCGAGACGCGAACAUCGACGACGAAAGUCGAGACGUGAACGUCGACGACGAGAUGCAAACGUCAAACGUUGAGUUUUGAACGUCGAAAUUCGAGAUGCGAACGUUGACUUCGAAAGUCGAGUUGUGAACGUCGAACGUCACCCAUCACCCCUGCCGAUUUUGGUGGGGCCUUCUCCAGCUAAGCCAGAGAUCAGGUCCUGCAGAACCCCCGAGAUAUCAGACAGAGUCCGAGUCUCUCCGGAGUCCCCAAGGACCUUUGCCCAAACCAGCCGAGUCCGAAGACCCAGGAAAAAAGGUCCGCCACGAGCUAGUCGUCGCCUUCCAAUUUCCCCUGCUGAUUUUGCCCAAGGUGUCUCCGAAAACUCCAGGGGCCACGGACACCAGGUAGGCACGAAAUCAUUGUGACACCUCAGUGACCCGGAGACCCCCAAAGGGACCAGAGACACCCCAAAGGGUGAUCCUAACCCCCCGUUCACCAGUCUAAAUGAACAAUUUUUAAGAGGCUAGGUCGAGAUUCCAGCUGGCGGAUACAUGCCGAAACACACACCAAGCUUCUACCAGCUUUCACCCCUAAGGUAAAUGCAAAAACCAAACCGACGUUAUCCUUAACAAGGACGACCGUUGGGCGCAUAAACCCCAAGUAAAGAGUUUGCGAGCUAUGGGAUCCCAUGUUUUGGAACAUUAGUUCUCACAAUGGUAGUUUUUACCCAUAAUCCUUUGCGUGCGCACUUUUCCUAACCCUUGUUGAAACUGAAGUCUCUGUUUGGUAAGGUUUCAUGCUUCUUGUUAGUUUUUUUUAUCGAUACGUUGGUAUCGACCCACUGACGAAAGGGUUAGGGUUAGGGUUAGGUUAGGGAUUACAGACCCAGAAGCCAGAACAAAGUCCAACUCUGGUUAUGCACUGUCCUUCAACUUCAACUGACUGCUUCUCGCCCUGUUUAGAUUAGGCCUUCUUUCGAGCAUAGAAGUUCCCAUGAAAGGGAACAUCCCGGGUUACUUAUGUAACCAUGGUUCCCUGAGUAGGGAAUGAGACACUGCGUCCUCUAGGUUUCUUGCCAUGCUGCAGACGCAAGCUUCAGACGAAGACGUGAAUGAUGUGUGCUCCCGGCGCCUAUUUAUACUAUAGUUGCACUGGUAGUGACGUCAUGGCUGUCGCCGGCCAACGAGUUGGUGUUUUUUCAAUGUAUGCUUUAGACAUGAGUCACGACGAGGCGUUCCCCAUAGCGACCCCUAGAGGACGCAGUGUCUCGUUCCCUACUCAGGGAACCAUGGUUACAUAAGUAACCUGAGACGUUUAUCAUUAACACUUGUUUCUCUGGAUAAUGUUAUAUAAAGCACUAUUACUUCAAACGAGUUAUACUUGAAGCCCACCCUCUGAGAAAUACUGAAAAUAUUGUUAUAAAUUGUAGCAACACCUCCCCUUUGCCUUUUGGACACGGCUCACAUUUAUAACAGCAAUGUUGGGGGGUAGACUCAUUUAAAAUAAUGUAAUCAUCUGGUUUUAUCCAGGUUUCUGUCAAACAGAGCACAUCUAAGUUAUGAUCUGUGAUCAUAUCUUUUACAAAAAGUGCUUUUGUAUAAAGGGAUCUAAUAUUCAUUAAGCCAAGCUUUAUCAUUUGUUUAUCUGUAUUAUAUCUAUUUUUUUAUUUGUUGAACAUCAAUUAAAUUGUUACACUUAAAUUGUUUUGGACGUUUUUUGUAUUUGCUAGUUCGGAGAACAGACACAGUCUCUAUAGUAUGAUAUCUAGGUGAAAGAGUCUCUAUGUGCUGAGAAUUAACUGACUUCUGUGACGUGAGGCGGCUAGCAGACGGUCAGUUUAGCCAAUCUGUCUGCUUCCUGAACUGGGCCCUGUUGUGUUUGUUCAAAUAACACAAAUAAAAGUCGGGACAACGAUGGGCAGUUCUUCUUUUUGUUUUACUGUGCAAUAACCUAAUCACAAACUCUGUUAACACAGGUGUGGCAUCUGCGUAGGAUCAUGCAGGAGCGUUGGACUGUUUAUGGCUUAAAAGACCCUUUUAGCCUUUUGACAUUUGCAUAUAAAUUACAGUUCUGGUCAGAUGAUUUUCCAUGGUUGUGGUUAAGUGAUGUGAAAUACUGCCAUUCUUUUCUAUUCUCUAUCUUUUCCUUACUUUGUUUCAUUCUGUGUAUAUAUGUUUUAGUUAGUUAUAUGUUAGAUAUAGUUUCAUUUUAUUAAAUCUCUUAUAUUCACAACGAAUUGUCUCUGUUUACUGUUCACAGUUCCAAGUCAAUGAAUGUUUGAACCUUUGCUACAUUUGGCUAAGAAUUACUGCUAGCACUGUACAAAGAAGGACAGUUUAUUGUUCCGUGGCCA